Molecule: transfer RNA, 74 nt
Filed under: Bacillus wiedmannii
Lineage: Bacteria; Bacillati; Bacillota; Bacilli; Caryophanales; Bacillaceae
Description: tRNA-Trp
Rfam family: tRNA
About the family: Transfer RNA (tRNA) molecules are approximately 80 nucleotides in length. Their secondary structure includes four short double-helical elements and three loops (D, anti-codon, and T loops).
Source: RNAcentral
AUCUCUUUAGUGUAGAGGUAACACGAUGGUCUCCAAAACCAUUAUCCUAGGUUCGAAUCCUAGAAGGGGUGCUA